Molecule: long non-coding RNA, 220 nt
Filed under: Elaeis guineensis (African oil palm)
Lineage: Eukaryota; Viridiplantae; Streptophyta; Magnoliopsida; Arecales; Arecaceae
Description: long non-coding RNA (EGUI_LNC040375)
Source: RNAcentral
ACAAACUCCUCCCGACAUCGAAGCUGGGCCUGGAGGCUCUAAAGCCUCCCCCACUAAUGUGCUUCACCUCCGAUAGCAUCGGGGAACCGACUUGUGAGUGACCUUGAGGUCCUCUUCUUCCCCUGAUGUCCUCGAGCUCAGCGGCAUGGGCAGCCUUCUCACUGGCAGAGACGUUGAUGUUCUAGGCCAAAUUUUGAUUAUUGCAUGAAGAAGCGAGCCU